UAUUGAGAGUUUGAUCCUGGCUCAGGAUUAACGCUGGCGGCAUGCCUAAGACAUGCAAGUCGAACGGAACACCCCACUGAAACUUGAAUGAAGUUAGAGAGCUUGCUCGAAGAUGGAAUGACGGUGGACGUGGAUUCUGUGUUCAGUGGCGAACGGGUGAGUAACACGUGGGUUACCUGCCUCUAAGUUGGGGACAACAGUUGGAAACGACUGCUAAUACCGAAUGUGAUAGUAAUAUUAAAGGAGCCUUUAAAGCUUCGCUUAGAGAUGGGCCUGCGGCGUAUUAGCUAGUUGGUGGGGUAACGGCCUACCAAGGCGACGAUGCGUAGCCGGACUGAGAG
This 341-nucleotide ribosomal RNA is filed under the name Bacillota bacterium. Its description in RNAcentral is "bacterial SSU rRNA". It matches the Rfam family "Bacterial small subunit ribosomal RNA", at positions 1 to 298 of the family's 1533-position model. The record is from RNAcentral. Lineage: Bacteria; Bacillati; Bacillota.